RNAcentral lists this ribosomal RNA (270 nucleotides) under uncultured prokaryote. RNAcentral's name for it is "partial 16S ribosomal RNA". It matches the Rfam family "Bacterial small subunit ribosomal RNA", at positions 524 to 792 of the family's 1533-position model. The record is from RNAcentral.
GACGUAGGAGGCGAGCGUUAUCCGGAUUCAUUGGGCGUAAAGGGCAAGUAGGCGGUUGUCAAAGUUGGGCGUGACAUCUCCUGGCUUAAACUAGGAGGGGUCGUUCAAAACUAGGCGACUAGAGGGCAGAAGAGGAAAGCGGAACUCCUGAUGUAGCGGUGGAAUGCUCAGAUAUCAGGAAGAACACCAGUGGCGAAGGCGGCUUUCUGGUCUGCACCUGACGCUGAGAGGCGAAGGCCAGGGUAGCGAACGGGCUUAGAUACCCCUGUA